Punica granatum (pomegranate) is the source of this 3469-nucleotide non-coding RNA. NCBI's taxonomy places the organism in Eukaryota, Viridiplantae, Streptophyta, Magnoliopsida, Myrtales, Lythraceae. The record is from RefSeq and is a predicted model, not a curated record.
GUCAACGAAAGGAAGAACUGAAUUUUCUGAAAAGAAAUAUUCAAUGCAAAAUCAAUCAAAAUGUUUAUAUAUGAAGAUUUAUUGAGGCAUUUAUAUAGCGUCACGCAUCCAAUAUUUGAUAAAUUUUCCGGUGAAACAUAAGCUGAAAAGCUGUCUGACUCUGAUUCAGUAAAGUUGAGCCUCCAAUUUCUUCUUGCCCGAAGCUACUCGCUUGGAAGGCCGCCGCUAAUGGCGAAACAGCCUAACAUCGUCUUCCUCGAGGAAUGGCUGAGGACCAGCAGCGGCGCCGCCGCCAAGAACCCUUCUCCUUCAUCCGCCCGGGAAAUCAUCCAGGCGUGGUCGGACCUCAGAGACUCUCUCCGUCACCAAUCCUUCAGCUCCCGCCACCUCCACUCUCUCAAGGUCCUCCUCAGCUCCCAGUCCGCCCUCCACGUGGCAGACCCCCAGGCCAAGCUCCUCAUCUCCCUCCUCUCCUCACCCGGCCUCUCUCUCCCCAGAGAAUCCUCCCCUCUCCUUCUCCGGCUUCUCUACAUCUGGGUCAGAAAAUCUUUCAGGCCCUCCACUGCGAUUCUUGAUUCUGCUGUGGAGGUUGUUGUCUCCGGGGCUCUCUGUGAUUGCAGGGCAGACCCUUUGCUGUUCGCUGAGGCUGUUCUCCUUCUGGGUGCCUUCAGUUUUGCGCCAGCUGUAUCUCAGAAGUCCAAGGUUGCCUCCUUGGAGUGCCUCGUCAAGGUUUUAUACGAGCAGUGCCCGUACCCGUUAACGGUUUCUGCUGAAAUUAUCAUUCCAAAUGUUCUUGCAGGAGUUGGGUACGCUCUUUCUUCUCCUAUCAGUGUAAAUGAUGGUAAAAUCUUGGAUUUCUUAUUUGGAGUAUGGGGGAAUGAGGGUGAGCCUUGUGCAAGUGUUCCUCAUGGACUAAUGGUUCUGCAUCUGAUCGAGUGGGUUGUUUCUGGAUAUAUAAGUGUCCGUUCUUCUGAGAGAGUUGGGUUGUUCUCAAGAAGAACUCUUGAGGCUCCUGAUGUAAAGUUUGUUCCUUUUGCUGUUCUAAUGGGUGCUGGUGGUGUCUUAAGAGCCUGCGGGAGGAUUGCACCAAGUGGGUCAGGGCUAGAACUUCUAUCCCAGCUGAGAGUUUCUGCCGAAAACAGGAUAGAAUCUAUUUCCAUGGAGCUAAUUUCUCGAACGGAGAAUUUUACCAUUGUACCAGCUGAUGGAGAUAGACUCCUUUUACUGUGUCUAUCGAUAGCAUUGGCCAGGAGUGGCUUCAUAUCUCCUCGGUCCCCUAUACUACUUUGCCUUGCUUCAGCACUGUUGGUCGAAAUCUUCCCUUUGAGACGCCUAUACCCAAAGGUGCUGGAACAUUCUCUCAGCAGUUCAACUUUAUCAGUACAUAAUGAGGUUAAAGAACACCUGGACAGUGUACUUCUUAUGGAAGCAGGUGCCAUAACAGGCAUUUUCUGUGACCAGUAUGUGGCCGCAGAGGAAGAGAACAGAAGCACGGUUGAGAGUCUUGUAUGGAAUUAUUGUCGAGAUAUAUACUUGGGUCACCGUCCUGUGGCUUUGGUUCUCUGCAGCCGUAAUGAUGGAUUGCUUGCAGAUUUGGAGAAAAUUGCAGAACCUGCUUUUCUUAUGGUAGCGGUCUUCGCAUUAGCUGUAACGAAGCAAAAAUUGAAUACCAAGUACUCUCAGGAGGCUCAAAGGGAGGUUUCACUGCGGAUAUUGGUAGCAUUUUCAUGUGUAGAGUAUUUCAGGCGAAUGCGAUUGUCCGAGUACAUGGAUACAAUCAGAGGAGUUGUUGGAUGUAUUCAAGAAACUGAGUAUGCCUGCAUAUCUUUUGUGGAGUCAAUACCUUCUUAUCUUGACUUGACAAAGGGGCAAGAAUGUUCACUUUCUCAAGGAAUGGAAUAUAAUUGGUCCAUAGAUGGGGUGCAAACUGCUCGUAUUUUGUUUUACCUGCGAGUCAUUCCUACCUUCAUUGAAAGGUUACCAAGCAAUGUUUUUCGGGAUUCUGUGGCUCCAACUAUGUUCCUAUACAUGGGACAUCCUAAUGCAAAAGUUGCUCGGGCGUCACAUUCUCUAUUUGCUGCCUUCCUCUCCUCCGGGAAGGAUUCUUUUGAGGAUGAGCAAGCCUCGCUCAAGGAGCAAUUCUCAUACUAUUACGUGCAGAGGUCUUUAGAGGGAUUUCCUGAUAUAACUCCUUUUGAGGGUCUGGCUUCGGGAGUAGGGGCCCUUGUUCGGCAUCUUCCUGCAGGUAGUGCCGCCAUUUUCUACUGCAUUCACAGUCUUGCUGAGAAGACCAAUGCGCUUUGCAGAGUGGUGCUCUCUCGCCAAGAAUCUGAUGCAUGGAAGAGUUUGCAAGGAGAGAAUGAACCUUGCAAAAAGAUCCUUGACUUGCUUCUCCGGCUUCUCUCUCUUGUUGAUAUUCAAGUAUUACCCGAUUUGAUGAAGUUGGUGGCAAAAAUGAUCGUUCAGCUACCCAAAGAUGCCCAGGACAUGUUUCUCAAUGACUUGUAUUCACAGGUUGCAGAUUCUGAUGAUGUGACACGCAAGCCCACAUUAGUUUCAUGGCUUCAGUCACUGUCUUACCUGUGUUCUCAGAACUCGAGCAGAACCACUGAACCUAUGCCUUCUUCUUCUUCUUCUUCUUUGACUGACCCAUUAUAUGCUCGACUUUGAAGAGUUAGGUAAAGCAAACCUGAUGAAGAUCUGGAAACCAACAGACGGAAGUGGGUUUCAUGUACAAAGUAUAGAAGCCCUGCUAAGUGUUUCUUGGUCUCUACUCUCUAGGCCAAGGGAGAUAGGUCCUCGAGUUGACCAAGUUCGCCACAGAUUGUGAAGUUCACUGCCGUGCAUUGGCCCUCGAGGUGACUGACCUGCUAUGAUGAGUCACACUACUUGGUAUUCAGGAUCUCUGAAAUCAUGACAUCACAAGUUGGAGAGUUAAGACCCUAACUGGUGCGAGAUCUGGUGCUUGUUUAUUGGGGUCACUUCACUUGUGAGAUAUGGUAGUGCUGCCAUUUUUUACUGCAUUCACAGCCUUGCCGAUAAAACUAAUACACUUUGCAGAGUGUCCUCUCUCACCAAGAUUCUGAUACGUGGAAGAGCUUGCAAAGAGAGAAUGAACCUUGCAGAAAGAUCCUUGACUUGCUUCUCUGGUUUCUGUUGUCUGUUGAUGUCAAAGUAAGCUGGUGCUUACACGGAACAGACUGAGGAUUUGGAAUGGUUUUUCUUCUUUUUGGAUGAGUAAAUUGGAAUAAUUGGCAAUCAGCGGAUGAAAUUUCCAGAAGCUCAACACAUAUACGAGUGUAUAUGAUUUUUCAUACUAGAUAUACUAUUAUGGUGCACUGUCAUACAAGAUGAAGAUUUUUGGAAAGUGUUGUGUGUACUGUGUAUUAGAGAAAGCUUCUGAUCUCCUAUCUUGUCUGAUCUUCUUCUUCUUCUUCUUCAGUUAACUAAGUUCACUGCAGAUUGUGAA